Long non-coding RNA from Lingula anatina, 747 nucleotides. NCBI's taxonomy places the organism in Eukaryota, Metazoa, Brachiopoda, Lingulata, Lingulida, Lingulidae. The record is from RefSeq and is a predicted model, not a curated record.
GGAAGAGCUGCGAGCCACGGUAUCUGCACCUCAGUUUCAACAGGCUCUGAGUACAUUCAGUGCUGCACUGGCCUCUGGUCAGCUGGGGCCACUCAUGGGGCAGUUUGGCCUGGGAGAAGAGGUGGCCAACGCAGCUGCACAGGGAGAUGUUGAGGCCUUUGUUCGUGCAAUGCAAAACGCAGAGCAGGGGGGCGAGGGCAAGGAUGAGGGAAGGAAAGAGGAAAAGAUGGACGAAAGCUAAAACUGUGAAGAACAGUUUUGUGCCUGUUUUGGGACAUAUUCCUGAAGAAUUUGCAAAGAUCAGGAACAUAUCAAUAUAUCACUCAAAUUCUAGAAAUUGAUAAAAUUCAGCGACUUACCAAUGUUGCUUUCUCACCCUUAGACUUUUCUUUACUGGAUAUCCAAAAACAUUUACUCAAUAUGAAUAUAUACUAAUAAAUGCUUAAAAAAUUUUAAAGUGAUGCUCCAAAGCUGUGGGCUCAAACAGAUAUUUUUUGAUCGCAAAUGGGGAUUGUUCACGUCAUUUGACUUUUUUAAUUAUUUUGGUUGAUUUUUUAUUUGUUUAUUUAUGUUUAUUUUUGUAAUUUGUGUCAUUGGGAAAUCUGAGCUUAUAAAUGCUAGUAAUCCUAAUUUAAACGCAAUUGUAUUAUUCUGAUGUCACUGAGCACACUCUACUUGACACAUAGAAUUGUCACUGGUGCUUUGAAGAAAAUAUGUUCCAAUAAAAGCCUUGUACUUCUUUUUUGA